Molecule: ribosomal RNA, 301 nt
Filed under: uncultured bacterium
Lineage: Bacteria
Description: partial 16S ribosomal RNA
Rfam family: Bacterial small subunit ribosomal RNA
Source: RNAcentral
CAGCCGCCGCGGGAAUACGUAGGGUGCAAGCGUUAAUCGGAAUUACUGGGCGUAAAGCGUGCGCAGGCGGUUAUAUAAGUCAGAUGUGAAAUCCCCGGGCUCAACCUGGGAACUGCAUUUGAGGCUGUAUGGCUAGAGUGUGUCAGAGGGGGGUAGAAUUCCACGUGUAGCAGUGAAAUACGUAGAUAUGUGGAGGAAUACCGAUGGCGAAGGCAGCCCCCUGGGAUAACACUGACGCUCAUGCACGAAAGCGUGGGGAGCAAACAGGAUUAGAUACCCCCGUAGUCCCUGUCUCUUAUAC